This 1313-nucleotide long non-coding RNA is filed under the name Sus scrofa (pig). RNAcentral describes it as "lncRNA (ENSSSCG00035067503.1)". Lineage: Eukaryota; Metazoa; Chordata; Mammalia; Artiodactyla; Suidae. The record is from RNAcentral.
UUGUGAAAAUAGUGCUGCUGUGAACGUAUGGGUGCAUGUGUCUUUUUGAAUUGUAGUUUUGUCUUUAUAUGGGAUUGUUGGAUCAUGUGGUAUUCUAUAUUUAGUUUUCUGAAGAACCUUCAUACUGUUUUCCAUAGUGGUUGGACCAAUUUACAUUCUCAAGAGGUGGGGUAAUCUGAUGGUCUUUGUGGGCCAGAUGGAAAAUGUGGUCUUCAGAGUAGAGUGAGCAAGAUAAUCUCCUGAUGAGCAAGGCUAAUUAUUAUAUAUGAUUAUAUUUAUAACCAUGUAUAAUUAUAUUUAGAAACAUGUGCAUGUUUAAUAAUGGGUAUAUGUAUAAUAAGACACUAUUUUAUACAAGAAUAAAUAUAUGUGUAUUUAUAGGAUGGAUGCUCUCAUGUUCAGGAAUGUUUCACAACUUGUGAUGUAUGAUCAAAAAGUUUAAAGUCUACUGCACUAGUUGUUAACAUGAUUACUUGGAUCCUAGAGUUUAAAAUACAAUGCCUGGAGUUUCUGUUAUGGCUCAGCAGGUUAAGAACUUGACAUAAUCUCUGUGAGGAUGCAGGUUUGAUCCCUGGCCUCACUCAGUGGGUUAAGGAUCUGGUGUUGCUGUGAGCUAUGACAUAGGUUGCAGAUGUGGCUCGGAUCUGGCGUUGCUGUGGCUAUGGUGUAGGCUGGCAGCUGCAGCUCCAAUUCGACUCCUAGCCCUUGAACUUCCAUAUUCCACGGGUGCUGCCAUAAAAAGAAAAAAGAAAAAGGAAAAAAUUAAAAUUAAAAAAAUAAUAAUGCUCAAGGGGUAAUGGCUCAUUUACCUUGUUAAUGACUUGCAAUGGCAAUAAUUAUCACUCAUGGAGUACCUAUGGCUUUGCUCUCUCAUAUCAUCCUACAGAAGUAAGAUAAGGUGGUGUCCGGAGUAUGGGGUCUGGAGCUUGACUACCUGGAUUCAAAUCCCUGCUCAGUCAUCUCUUGGCUGUGUGACUUAAGAUGAGAAGAUACAUCGCUUCUGCUUCUAAGAGUCGGUGAUCCUCAUCCUUCUCUCUGCACCUGCCCUUGCCGUGUCCUUGGUCAGCACAGAGGAAGGACAACAGCACAUCUCCCUCACAUCGGAAGUGGCUCCACAAGUUGGCCUUCACUGCCAUCAACCCUAACAGAUGUGGUGCUCUAUCUCCACAGUCCUCCAGAGAGCCCUCAAGUCCCUCAGGGUGUCUUUACUCCAAGAAGGGGUUCUAGACUAGACAAGCAGAGGUGUUGCAGAAAGGAAGAUACUGCAAAGGAUUCAGGCAGCAAAGGGUGUGCUCCCCACACUGGGGAAGACA